GCCUGGAUGGCGCAGUGGUCGUGCGCCUCGGGUCCCAAAAGUCGUCGCGACUAACGAGUCUCGCCCCGCUUAUUAGGAUGUGGUAUGUAAGGGAUGUUGGUUCGAAUCCAGCUCUAGGCA
This is a transfer RNA of Oidiodendron maius Zn, 120 nucleotides long. It matches the Rfam family "tRNA". From Rfam's summary of the family: Transfer RNA (tRNA) molecules are approximately 80 nucleotides in length. Their secondary structure includes four short double-helical elements and three loops (D, anti-codon, and T loops). Lineage: Eukaryota; Fungi; Ascomycota; Leotiomycetes; Myxotrichaceae. The record is from Rfam.